AGACGGGAGCGAGCCCGCCUUCCGGGCGGAGCGCCCCCCCAGGCGGACCGAAGUGGGGCGGCUCUCUGGGAGGUGCGGCGUGCGGCCUUUCGGGCGCGGUUUGCUCUGCACAGCAACGAGGAGUGCAGCGUGGGGGAAACUACCGAUCACCCUGAGCUAAAGGUAUCCCGCCAGGGCUUCAGAGCAACCGAGAGUGCUCUGUGCUGCCGCUCCUCCAAGACUUACGAUCAUCAAUCUUCUAACAGCUAUCGUCUGUGCGCACGGAGAAGCGGAAGCGUCCCUCCGCUCUCACCGCUGUGUGGCGCCACCGCAUUCCAAAACGCAGAGGGGAAAAAACAGAAGUGGAAGAGUGGAAAACACAGCAUGCAACCCGUGGGUGCUAUGCAUGAUGCAAUAGCAGGGGGAUACAGCUUGCAGCCCCUGAUGACUCUGCAAACUGCAGCUGUGGGGACACAGAUUACAAUUCCUGAGCUCCAAGCAUAAUGCAGCCCAUAGAACUGGGCACAGUACUGGGAGAUACGCACAGUGCAAAGCCAUCAAACCACACAAAAUGCAGAAAUGGCUCUGCUCCCACAGGGCUUUGUGUCUUCCCAGCUUGCAACUGGAUACACUGAGAACUGCAAAUGAGACAUCUGGGUUCCUCAAUGAUGAGGCAGCGCACCAAAGAGGUGGAGGAAUCAGUUAUGUACUGUUAAUGAGUUACCAGCUCCUACUUGUUCUUUACAGCAUUUAUUGUACACACAAGCAUAUGGGAAAAACACCAACAUUCCUGCUGGAACCAGGUGUAAUCAAGUGCAGGUUACUUCCAGGUAAAGCAUGUUUGUGUGUUACAUUUCCAGUCGGGGAACAGCAUUAUGCAGCGGCUGCCUUCUCUUUGUAAGUUGCCAUCAUCUUCUUGAUCUCAGCAAUUGCUUUGCCAGGGUUCAAACCCUACAAAGAGGAAGUUCCAGCUAGUUUCUCCAGAAAUCAGCAUGUUUGAGUAUCCUCCCUGUUUUCCCACAAUCUAAGUUGUGCUAUUCAUAAGAACUGGCAGAGGAGAGGUUUGGCGACCAGUUUUUAAAGUUAGAGCCCAGCCUGGCGUUGCACUUUCAUCAAAUGCUGCCAGGGAUCCUGAGGGCACUGCAGCAAGCAAGACCACUAAGUCACAAGAUGCUCCAACCAAGCUUUUCAAAGCAAGGUUUUCCUACGAUUCAAACAUACAUCACAUCACAGAGGCCCUUAACCCUGCAGUACUGCUGGCAAGCCAAGCACACUUAAUCUCAAAAUGAGAGUGGGGAGAUCACAAGUGUCCUUCUAUAGCAUUGUGAUGACAGCACAGCGAGACAACGCAUGAGCAGGAAAUGACCACAGAGCACAGCUCACUAUGCAAUCUUUUCAAAGCUGAUCAAGAUAAGAGACAUGAUUUAAGCUUGCGAGGGGAAAUGUGUUAUCAACCAUAAACGUCUCAAACAUCAACAGACCAAGCCCUCGUGUGUUAUUUCCCUAUGCUGUGUACAGUCAGAUCUUCAAACAGAACCAUCAUCUUUAGCUGAACUACAGCUGACGUGAGCACGAUAAUCCCCUCUGUAGAGAUAAAUCCCCCCUUUUCUAGUUAGUGAAUCAUGUUAAACACACAAAACCAGCAGGCGCUGCUCCUGACAAACACCUGUCAGUCCGGAUCCCAAGCACCUUAUUUUCCCACAUCCGUGAUCAGCUCAAUUGUUUGCUGCCUUGUUACUUCACAGCUCAAGAAGAAUUCUGCUCUACUGUUGGUGCAAGCAAUGCUCAGGUAGAACAUAACACAGCUGGCAGGAAAAUGGAACUCUAUCUACCCAGCAACAGGCACAAGGUUACAGCAAGAUGGGAAGAGGCACACUCUUAUUUGAGAAAGUUUGCUCAGAUUUCAGCAGAAAUACCACAGACUACAGCCCUUCUGGGAAAUGCCCUUCUAGCACGAUGUCAGCAUAAAACACACCCCCCUGGGCACUGAAAACUUGCUGUCAUCUUCUCUAUUAUGCAAGUUGCUCAAUACGUCAGGACAGCAGCUACUGCUGGGGUUAUAUGCAUUACUCACAUCACCGAUCAGACAGACUUCCCUACAGCAUUUCUGGAAGCGUCCCUCACACAACCAGCAUGUUCCAGUCAUAGUCCUAAAUCCUGGAAACAGUCAGGUUCUCAAAAUCACGAAGAAGAGAUGUUUCUGUGAUGUGUAGUGUAGCAUAUACUCUGCCAUAUUCUCUUGCACAGUCACUACUGUAAACAUGACUGCUGAUAACUUGCCAUUUCAAAAGGAAAAAAGUCAACGAAAGCUUGAAGAAAACAAAACCUACUACCAGUGUUUUCCUACCAGUCUGGAAACGACUGCAGAAGGGACACAAGCAGAAACAACACCUACCUUUGGGCAAGUCCUUGUGCAGUUCAUGAUAGUGUGACAACGGUAGAGAGAAAAUGGGUCUUGAAGUUGUGCCAGGCGUUCCUCUGUGUAGUCAUCUCUGGAGUCGAUCAUCCAGCGAUAGGCCUGAAAAUCAGUGUCAUUGACACACCAAAUGAUUUCCCAAGGAACUAGAUGCUACUGUGCAUUAAUGUUUAACCCUGGUCUUAUCUGGAAGAGACGUUAAUGGUAAAAAUAACUUUAAAAAAGGGUAACCAGUUUCUGACGGUCUUCUAUGGAUUGCAAGUACUGCUCCUUGCCCUGUUUCGACUCGUCCUUCUUCUUCAGGUAAGGCUCGAUGGAUUUGUACU
Long non-coding RNA from Gallus gallus (chicken), 2721 nucleotides. RefSeq lists it as uncharacterized. The transcript is spliced from 2 exons. The record is from RefSeq and is a predicted model, not a curated record. NCBI's taxonomy places the organism in Eukaryota, Metazoa, Chordata, Aves, Galliformes, Phasianidae.